GCUGCUUCGAGCUCUAGCAACCCUUUUAGCACUGGGCAGCAAGCAUUUUCAACGGGGUUUCCUAGCCCUAUGUGCACCAAACCUCCAAGAACAUCCACACAAAGCCCUAGCUUAAGUGCAUUGAUUGGACAAGUGGGUUGAGUAGUAGGUGGAGGGUUAAGUCCCGGAACAUUGCCGCCUCCUCCGCCACCACCUCCGCCGCCUCCGCCGCCGCCGCCUGGCGGUGUGUAAGGUGGAUAAGUAGAAGGUGGUGGAAUUGUUACCGGAGGGUUUGUGACAGGAGGAGUAAUUACCGGAGGAUGUGUAAUUGGAGGGACUGUGACUGGUGGUGGAGGAAAAAUGAUUGGAGGGGCAAUAAUUGGCGGCCUUUUGGAUGGUGGUGAUAAUUUCGGGGGGUGACCUCCAUGAUGUGGCGGGUGUUUGGUGCGUGGUGGGUUCGGGUGGGGAAUUUUCGGAUGAGUCUUCGGAGGGCU
Molecule: long non-coding RNA, 473 nt
Filed under: Citrus maxima (pomelo)
Lineage: Eukaryota; Viridiplantae; Streptophyta; Magnoliopsida; Sapindales; Rutaceae
Description: long non-coding RNA (CMAX_LNC002122)
Source: RNAcentral